RNAcentral lists this ribosomal RNA (468 nucleotides) under uncultured bacterium. RNAcentral's name for it is "partial 16S ribosomal RNA". It matches the Rfam family "Bacterial small subunit ribosomal RNA", at positions 28 to 507 of the family's 1533-position model. The record is from RNAcentral.
GACGAACGCUGGCGGUGUGCCUAACACAUGCAAGUCGAACGGAAAGGCACUGCUUUUGUGGGGUGCCCGAGUGGCGAACGGGUGAGUAACACGUGAGUAUCCUGACCUAGUUUUUGGGAUAACUUAAGGAAACUGGGGUUAAUCUCGUAUAGGAGACCCUGUUGCAUGGUGGGGGUUGGAACGUCUCGGCGGUUGGGGUUGGAUGAGCGGGUUAUCAGCUAGUUGGUGGGGUAGUGGCUUACCCAGUCUUUGACGGGUAGCCGGCCUGGGAGGGUGACCGGCCACAAUAGGACUGAGAUACGGCCCAGACGCCAACGGUGGGCAGCAGUGGGGAAUAUUGCACAGUGAGCGGAAGCCUGAUGCGACAGCGCCGCGGGCGGGAUGACGUCCUGCGGGGUAUGAACCGCAUUCGCCUAUGACGAAGCUGGAGUGACGGUAAUGAGUAAAGAAGCACCGGCUAACUACGUG